RNAcentral lists this transfer RNA (72 nucleotides) under Marmota monax (woodchuck). RNAcentral describes it as "tRNA.Ala". The record is from RNAcentral. Lineage: Eukaryota; Metazoa; Chordata; Mammalia; Rodentia; Sciuridae.
GGGGAUGUAGCUUAGUGAUAUAGCUCUCACCUAGCAUGUGUGUGGUCCUGGAUUGAAUCCCCAGCACUGCAA